Molecule: ribosomal RNA, 985 nt
Filed under: Ammonia beccarii
Lineage: Eukaryota; Foraminifera; Rotaliida; Rotaliidae
Description: bacterial SSU rRNA
Rfam family: Eukaryotic small subunit ribosomal RNA
Source: RNAcentral
GACUCAACGCGGGAAAUCUUACCGGGUCCGGACACACUGAGGAUUGACAGAUAUACGCUACGUUGCGCUGCCUUCGGGUGCGCACGUGGCUCAAAGAUGCUAGUUCUUUCAUGAUUAUGUGAUAGGUGGUGCAUGGCCGUUCUUAGUUCGUGGAGUGAUCUGUCUGCUUAAUUGCGUAUCAAUAAUAGAGACCUAGUAUACGCGUAUUACUCAUGUGGUAGUGACCCCCUUCUCACGGAGGCGCGUGUCGCACAUAUGGUAUACGCACUGGUCUCAGAUAGCAACGAACGUGACCGUAUUCUAUUGUUGCAGUGAAUUAUACGUGUGCUUUAUUGUACACAUUCCCACUGCUUAGUGUGCGCUGCCAGCACUUGUUGCUGCUGCGUCACACAUUAAACUAUAGAGACCGCUGUUUCUUCUUUAAACCAGAGGAAGGAUACGGCAAUAACAGGUCUGUGAUGCCCUCAGAUGUUCCGGGCUGCACACGUGCUACAAUGAUCAUUGCACUGUGCAUCUAACCCAAUGUGCGCGGACGCCACGAUACGUAAAAUUGUCUUCGGGCAUUUUUUAUGUAUUCGCUUGUGCGACUGCGCCGAACCUACUUCGAAAGUAAAAUUUUUAAGUGGGUAAUCCAUUAGAAGUAAUGACUCGCAUAGACCAUGGCACACUAUAUGUACGCGCAGGUCUACCCGGCUCGCCUUUGUGUGAGUGCAGUGCGUAGCUUGUUGUUUCGUACGUGCCACUCCGUAUUAAUUCGUACGUGGGGAUAGAUCAUUGUUUAAUUGUUGGUCUCGGUCUUAACUAGGAAUGCCUUGUACGGGUCUUUGGUUCAACAUACCACCCGGAAUACGUCCCUGCCCUUUGUACACACCGCCCGUCGCUCUUACCGAUGGAUUAUACUAUGAAUCUAUAGGACUGCCAAAGCUUUGCGGCGUGUUCGCACACCGCGCUUAGUGGAAAUAUAUAUGAAUAGUGUGAUCUAAAG